Molecule: ribosomal RNA, 632 nt
Filed under: uncultured Enterobacteriaceae bacterium
Lineage: Bacteria; Pseudomonadati; Pseudomonadota; Gammaproteobacteria; Enterobacterales; Enterobacteriaceae
Description: SSU rRNA
Rfam family: Bacterial small subunit ribosomal RNA
Source: RNAcentral
AACGCUGGCGGCAGGCCUAACACAUGCAAGUCGAGCGGUACACAGAGAGCUUGCUCUCGGGUGACGAGCGGCGGACGGGUGAGUAAUGUCUGGGAAACUGCCUGAUGGAGGGGGAUAACUACUGGAAACGGUAGCUAAUACCGCAUAACGUCGCAAGACCAAAGUGGGGGACCUUCGGGCCUCAUGCCAUCAGAUGUGCCCAGAUGGGAUUAGCUAGUAGGUGGGGUAAUGGCUCACCUAGGCGACGAUCCCUAGCUGGUCUGAGAGGAUGACCAGCCACACUGGAACUGGGACACGGUCCAGACUCCUACGGGAGGCAGCAGUGGGGAAUAUUGCACAAUGGGCGCAAGCCUGAUGCAGCCAUGCCGCGUGUGUGAAGAAGGCCUUCGGGUUGUAAAGCACUUUCAGCGGGGAGGAAGGCGAUAAGGUUAAUAACCUUGUCGAUUGACGUUACCCGCAGAAGAAGCACCGGCUAACUCCGUGCCAGCAGCCGCGGUAAUACGGAGGGUGCAAGCGUUAAUCGGAAUUACUGGGCGUAAAGCGCACGCAGGCGGUCUGUCAAGUCGGAUGUGAAAUCCCGGGGCUCAACCUGGGAACUGCAUUCGAAACUGGCAGGCUAGAGUCUUGUAGAG